Molecule: ribosomal RNA, 243 nt
Filed under: Triticum aestivum (bread wheat)
Lineage: Eukaryota; Viridiplantae; Streptophyta; Magnoliopsida; Poales; Poaceae
Description: partial small subunit ribosomal RNA
Source: RNAcentral
AUGGACAGGCGAGGAAACCCAGCAGUCAAGGCAAACACUGGGAAAUGGAAAUCUUCCAUCCCGCUGCUAGUUAACUAUGCGCUUGUAACGUGCGCCUUCUUCGGCGUCGGGGUGAACCUGGUGGUGUUCCUCCGGCGGGUGCUCCACCAGGACAACGCCGAGGCGGCCAACAACAUCAGCAAAUGGACCGGCACCGUCUACAUCUUCUCCCUCAUCGGCGCCUUCAUGAGCGACUCCUACUAG